Molecule: ribosomal RNA, 129 nt
Filed under: Photobacterium leiognathi
Lineage: Bacteria; Pseudomonadati; Pseudomonadota; Gammaproteobacteria; Vibrionales; Vibrionaceae
Description: partial 16S ribosomal RNA
Rfam family: Bacterial small subunit ribosomal RNA
Source: RNAcentral
ACUUUAAUUGAAGAGUUUGAUCAUGGCUCAGAUUGAACGCUGGCGGCAGGCCUAACACAUGCAAGUCGAGCGGCAGCGACUUAACUGAACCUUCGGGGAACGUUAAGGGCGGCGAGCGGGGACGGGUGA